AGAAGACCAGGAAAAGAUAAGGAUAAAGAAUGUCAUAUAUCUCAGGAGCUAGAUCACUUCCCGAUGAACAAGUAAGAAUUGCCUCAACAAAAAUGGAUGGAAUUGGACCGAAAAAAGCCAUUCAGCUUUGUUAUCGAUUAUAGGAAUAUGAGAUGGACGAAGAUGAGGACAUUGCUUUUGAUCAUGAUGAUGCACAUGCAUUAG
This 204-nucleotide ribosomal RNA is filed under the name Triticum aestivum (bread wheat). Its description in RNAcentral is "partial small subunit ribosomal RNA". The record is from RNAcentral. Lineage: Eukaryota; Viridiplantae; Streptophyta; Magnoliopsida; Poales; Poaceae.